RNAcentral lists this ribosomal RNA (860 nucleotides) under Psychrobacter faecalis. RNAcentral describes it as "bacterial SSU rRNA". It matches the Rfam family "Bacterial small subunit ribosomal RNA", at positions 588 to 1447 of the family's 1533-position model. The record is from RNAcentral. Lineage: Bacteria; Pseudomonadati; Pseudomonadota; Gammaproteobacteria; Moraxellales; Moraxellaceae.
UCAGAUGUGAAAGCCCCGGGCUUAACCUGGGAACGGCAUCUGAUACUGUUAGGCUAGAGUAGGUGAGAGGAAGGUAGAAUUCCAGGUGUAGCGGUGAANUGCGUAGAGAUCUGGAGGAAUACCGAUGGCGAAGGCAGCCUUCUGGCAUCAUACUGACACUGAGGUUCGAAAGCGUGGGUAGCAAACAGGAUUAGAUACCCUGGUAGUCCACGCCGUAAACGAUGUCUACUAGUCGUUGGGUCCCUUGAGGACUUAGUGACGCAGCUAACGCAAUAAGUAGACCGCCUGGGGAGUACGGCCGCAAGGUUAAAACUCAAAUGAAUUGACGGGGGCCCGCACNAGCGGUGGAGCAUGUGGUUUAAUUCGAUGCAACGCGAAGAACCUUACCUGGUCUUGACAUAUCUAGAAUCCUGCAGAGAUGCGGGAGUGCCUUCGGGAAUUAGAAUACAGGUGCUGCAUGGCNGUCGUCAGCUCGUGUCGUGAGAUGUUGGGUUAAGUCCCGCAACGAGCGCAACCCUUGUCCUUAGUUACCAGCGGUUUGGCCGGGAACUCUAAGGAUACUNCCAGUGACAAACUGGAGGAAGGCGGGGACGACGUCAAGUCAUCAUGGCCCUUACGACCAGGGCUACACACGUGCUACAAUNGUAGGUACAGAGGGCAGCUACACAGCGAUGUGAUGCGAAUCUCAAAAAGCCUAUCGUAGUCCAGAUUGGAGUCUGCAACUCGACUCCAUGAAGUAGGAAUCGCUAGUAAUCGCGGAUCAGAAUGCCGCGGUGAAUACGUUCCCGGGCCUUGUACACACCGCCCGUCACACCAUGGGAGUUGAUUGCACCAGAAGUGGGUAGCCUAACCUUUUAGGA